Molecule: long non-coding RNA, 470 nt
Organism: Haliotis rubra (blacklip abalone)
Lineage: Eukaryota; Metazoa; Mollusca; Gastropoda; Lepetellida; Haliotidae
Exons: 3
Source: RefSeq, a predicted model, not a curated record
UACAAGGUCAAUAUUCACCGUAACCUCCAUGUGACUGUAUGACAGCCAUCGCUCUCCUCCUCAUUCACCCUGUCAGCCUCCUGAUGCUCUGAAGGGGCAAUCUACGGUAUUCAUCGUGUAAAGCAGCUUCCAAUUUGGCCAGGUUCUGUACAGGAGGAUCCUUUUGUUGCAUACGACGACCACUCAUAUCCCAUAUAUGCUCCAAAGGGCUAUAUCGGGGCUCAUUCAAUCUUCCUGGCGGACCCUAUUUCGAACACACUCUCGAAUGGACCAACAUAUCUGAAGUCCACGAAUAUUUUCAAAUGUGCAGUGUGCACUAUGAAGACAUGAAAAAGGAUUGCGUUCCGGAAAUACGUCGAAUGGCUGAGUACUUGGGGCGUCCUUUGUCGGAGAAAACAUACCAGGACAUAUCCGAGGCAUGUUCUUUUAAGAAACUCAAGCAUGCUAACGAGAAACUCAAAGACCAGACC